This 500-nucleotide ribosomal RNA is filed under the name uncultured bacterium. RNAcentral describes it as "partial 16S ribosomal RNA". It matches the Rfam family "Bacterial small subunit ribosomal RNA", at positions 30 to 523 of the family's 1533-position model. The record is from RNAcentral.
AUUGAACGCUGGCGGCACGCCUUACUCAUGCAAGUCGAACGGCAGCACGGGAGCAAUCCUGGUGGCGAGUAGCGAACGGGUGAGUAAAGUAUCGGAACGUGCCCAGUCGUGGGGGAUAACGUAGCGAAAGUUACGCUAAUACCGCAUACGAUCUAUGGAUGAAAGCGGGGGAUCGCAAGACCUCGCGCGAUUGGAGCGGCCGAUAUCAGAUUAGGUAGUUGGUGGGGUAAAGGCUCACCAAGCCGACGAUCUGUAGCUGGUCUGAGAGGACGACCAGCCACACUGGGACUGAGACACGGCCCAGACUCCUACGGGAGGCAGCAGUGGGGAAUUUUGGACAAUGGGCGAAAGCCUGAUCCAGCCAUGCCGCGUGCAGGAUGAAGGCCUUCGGGUUGUAAACUGCUUUUGUACGGAACGAAAAGGUUUGGCCUAAUAAGCUGAGCUCAUGACGGUACCGUAAGAAUAAGCACCGGCUAACUACGUGCCAGCCGCCGCCGUAA